RNAcentral lists this ribosomal RNA (254 nucleotides) under uncultured bacterium. RNAcentral describes it as "partial 16S ribosomal RNA". It matches the Rfam family "Bacterial small subunit ribosomal RNA", at positions 524 to 776 of the family's 1533-position model. The record is from RNAcentral.
GACAGAGGGUGCAAACGUUGCUCGGAAUCACUGGGCGUAAAGGGCGCGUAGGCGGCCAGCACAAGUCAGUUGUGAAAUCUCCGAGCUUAACUCGGAAAGGUCAACUGAUACUGUGCGGCUAGAGUGCGGAAGGGGCAACUGGAAUUCUUGGUGUAGCGGUGAAAUGCGUAGAUAUCAAGAGGAACACCAGUGGCGAAGGCGGCUCACUGGACCGGUACUGACGCUGAUGCGCGAAAGCGUGGGGAGCAAACGGG